UUGAAGAGUUUGAUCAUGGCUCAGAUUGAACGCUGGCGGCAGGCCUAACACAUGCAAGUCGGGCGGUAGCACAGAGAGCUUGCUCUCGGGUGACGAGCGGCGGACGGGUGAGUAAUGUCUGGGAAACUGCCUGAUGGAGGGGGAUAACUACUGGAAACGGUAGCUAAUACCGCAUAACGUCGCAAGACCAAAGAGGGGGACCUUCGGGCCUCUUGCCAUCAGAUGUGCCCAGAUGGGAUUAGCUAGUAGGUGGGGUAACGGCUCACCUAGGCGACGAUCCCUAGCUGGUCUGAGAGGAUGACCAGCCACACUGGAACUGAGACACGGUCCAGACUCCUACGGGAGGCAGCAGUGGGGAAUAUUGCACAAUGGGCGCAAGCCUGAUGCAGCCAUGCCGCGUGUAUGAAGAAGGCCUUCGGGUUGUAAAGUACUUUCAGCGGGGAGGAAGGUGUUGUGGUUAAUAACCACAGCAAUUGACGUUACCCGCAGAAGAAGCACCGGCUAACUCCGUGCCAGCAGCCGCGGUAAUACGGAGGGUGCAAGCGUUAAUCGGAAUUACUGGGCGUAAAGCGCACGCAGGCGGUCUGUCAAGUCGGAUGUGAAAUCCCCGGGCUCAACCUGGGAACUGCAUUCGAAACUGGCAGGCUAGAGUCUUGUAGAGGGGGGUAGAAUUCCAGGUGUAGCGGUGAAAUGCGUAGAGAUCUGGAGGAAUACCGGUGGCGAAGGCGGCCCCCUGGACAAAGACUGACGCUCAGGUGCGAAAGCGUGGGGAGCAAACAGGAUUAGAUACCCUGGUAGUCCACGCCGUAAACGAUGUCGACUUGGAGGUUGUGCCCUUGAGGCGUGGCUUCCGGAGCUAACGCGUUAAGUCGACCGCCUGGGGAGUACGGCCGCAAGGUUAAAACUCAAAUGAAUUGACGGGGGCCCGCACAAGCGGUGGAGCAUGUGGUUUAAUUCGAUGCAACGCGAAGAACCUUACCUACUCUUGACAUCCAGAGAACUUAGCAGAGAUGCUUUGGUGCCUUCGGGAACUCUGAGACAGGUGCUGCAUGGCUGUCGUCAGCUCGUGUUGUGAAAUGUUGGGUUAAGUCCCGCAACGAGCGCAACCCUUAUCCUUUGUUGCCAGCGGUUAGGCCGGGAACUCAAAGGAGACUGCCAGUGAUAAACUGGAGGAAGGUGGGGAUGACGUCAAGUCAUCAUGGCCCUUACGAGUAGGGCUACACACGUGCUACAAUGGCGCAUACAAAGAGAAGCGACCUCGCGAGAGCAAGCGGACCUCAUAAAGUGCGUCGUAGUCCGGAUUGGAGUCUGCAACUCGACUCCAUGAAGUCGGAAUCGCUAGUAAUCGUAGAUCAGAAUGCUACGGUGAAUACGUUCCCGGGCCUUGUACACACCGCCCGUCACACCAUGGGAGUGGGUUGCAAAAGAAGUAGGUAGCUUAACCUUCGGGAGGGCGCUUACCACUUUGUGAUUCAUGACUGGGGUGAAGUCGUAACAAGGUAACCGUAGGGGAACCUGCGGUUGGAUCACCUCCUU
This 1536-nucleotide ribosomal RNA is filed under the name Enterobacter sp. Its description in RNAcentral is "partial 16S ribosomal RNA". It matches the Rfam family "Bacterial small subunit ribosomal RNA". The record is from RNAcentral. Lineage: Bacteria; Pseudomonadati; Pseudomonadota; Gammaproteobacteria; Enterobacterales; Enterobacteriaceae.